ACAGGCUCCAGGCUCUGAGCCAUCAGCCCAGAGCCCGACGCGGGGCUCGAACUCACAGACCGCGAGAUCGUGACCUGGCUGAAGUCGGACGCUUAACCGACUGCGCCACCCAGGCGCCCCAUUGGCUUUUGAAAAUAAUGCAGCAAUGAACAUGAAGAGGGAGAGAAACAAAGUGUUUGCACUCAUGCUCAUGCAAGGGAGUGGUGAGAGGCAGAGAGAGAGAGGGAGAGAGAAUGAUGUGGGGCUCAGUCUCAUGAACUGUGAGAUCAUGACCUCAGCUGAAAUCAAGAGUCUGAUGCUCAACCUACUGAGCUACCUAAGCGCCCCAGGUGAGCCCUUAUUCUAAUAUAAUGGGUAUUCUUAUAAUAUGCUGGCCAUAUAAAGACAGAGGCACAGGGAGAAGGCUAUGUGACCAUGAAGGCAGAGAUUGGAGUUAGGCAGCUGCAAACCAAGAAAAGCUGAAGAUUUUCAGGAAACCGCUGGAAGAUAGGAAGACACAAGGAAGGAUUCUCUGUACAGGUUUCAAAGGAAUCCUGUAACACCCGGAUUUUAGAAUUUUCGCCACCUGAAAUAUGAGACAAUAAAUUUGUUAUUUUAAGUCA
Long non-coding RNA from Felis catus (domestic cat), 602 nucleotides. RefSeq lists it as uncharacterized. NCBI's taxonomy places the organism in Eukaryota, Metazoa, Chordata, Mammalia, Carnivora, Felidae. The transcript is spliced from 2 exons. The record is from RefSeq and is a predicted model, not a curated record.